Molecule: ribosomal RNA, 468 nt
Filed under: uncultured bacterium
Lineage: Bacteria
Description: partial 16S ribosomal RNA
Rfam family: Bacterial small subunit ribosomal RNA
Source: RNAcentral
GACGAACGCUGGCGGCGUGCUUAACACAUGCAAGUCGAACGGAAAGGCCCUGCUUUUGUGGGGUGCUCGAGUGGCGAACGGGUGAGUAACACGAGAGUAACCUGCCCUUGCCUUUGGGAUAACUUCAGGAAACUGGGGCUAAUACCGGAUAGGAGCUCCUGCUGCAUGGUGGGGGUUGGAAAGUUUCGGCGGUUGGGGAUGGACUCGCGGCUUAUCAGCUUGUUGGUGGGGUAGUGGCUUACCAAGGCUUUGACGGGUAGCCGGCCUGAGAGGGUGACCGGCCACAUUGGGACUGAGAUACGGCCCAGACGCCUACGGGAGGCAGCAGUGGGGAAUAUUGCACAAUGGGCGGAAGCCUGAUGCAGCAACGCCGCGUGCGUGAUGACGGCCUUCGGGUUGUAAACCGCUUUCGCCUGUGACGAAGCGUGAGUGACGGUAAUGGGUAAAGAAGCACCGGCUAACUACGUG